CAUGUUUCCUGUAAGUUCAAAGUGACUUGCUUGUGUUCCUCUUCUCAUUGUGUUUUAAAUGAAUAAGUAAUGCAUUCAGUGCUAAAGAACUCAUACAACUUUUGGUGGAAUGCAGUAAGAAACAUGGUGUAGCAACUAUGAAAACUCGGGAACUCUUUGACUUUAUAGUCGAUCCAUGUAUUGCUGAUGAUGCGGUGGUAUCUAG
Molecule: long non-coding RNA, 205 nt
Filed under: Prunus persica (peach)
Lineage: Eukaryota; Viridiplantae; Streptophyta; Magnoliopsida; Rosales; Rosaceae
Description: long non-coding RNA (PPER_LNC005754)
Source: RNAcentral